This 205-nucleotide long non-coding RNA is filed under the name Hordeum vulgare. Its description in RNAcentral is "long non-coding RNA (HVUL_LNC008947)". Lineage: Eukaryota; Viridiplantae; Streptophyta; Magnoliopsida; Poales; Poaceae. The record is from RNAcentral.
CCGAGGUGGUGGUGUCAGGCGGCCAGGUGUGGCUGUGCAGGGGGGUGUUGGAAAUAUGCCCUAGAGGCAAUAAUAAAUUAGUUAGUAUUAUAUUUCCUUGUUCAUAAUAAUCGUUUAUUAUCCAUGCUAGAAUUGUAUUGAUUGGAAACACAAAUACAUGUGUGGAUACAUAGACAAAAUACUGUCCUUGGUAGGUGGGCGUGGC